AUUUUUAGGGUUUCUCUGCUCUUCUCUCCUAUUUCUUCCUAAAACCUAAUAAAAUGGAAUUAAUUAAUCUUUCUUUAAAUUUCAUUUCUUGUAUAUGUGUGUGUGUGUGUGUGUGUUUUUUUUUUUUUUUUUUUUGGGUGGUGGGGGGGUUGCACCUCACUUCAUCUCUCGCCUUAAUAACACUGUAUAUAGAAUAUAUGAGAAGAUGUGUGAACGACUAAAAUAGGAUAAAGGCUGAAAGUAACAAAAGAAAUCCCCAGCUAAACUAAAAGAAGUUUCCAUACUAUGCAUUACAACUUAGUUGUCUAGGAAACAAGGAGCAAGGUGACAAUAGUG
Molecule: unclassified non-coding RNA, 336 nt
Filed under: Hevea brasiliensis (rubber tree)
Lineage: Eukaryota; Viridiplantae; Streptophyta; Magnoliopsida; Malpighiales; Euphorbiaceae
Source: RNAcentral